AAAUGACUCUCGGCAACGGAUAUCUCGGCUCACGCAUCGAUGAAGAACGUAGCAAAAUGCGAUACUUGGUGUGAAUUGCAGAAUCCCGUGAACCAUCGAGUUUUUGAACGCAAGUUGCGCCCAAAGCCAUCCGGUUGAGGGCACGCCUGCCUGGGCGUCAC
Molecule: ribosomal RNA, 161 nt
Filed under: Gelasia latifolia
Lineage: Eukaryota; Viridiplantae; Streptophyta; Magnoliopsida; Asterales; Asteraceae
Also listed under: 17 other names
Description: Scorzonera latifolia 5.8S ribosomal RNA
Rfam family: 5.8S ribosomal RNA
About the family: 5.8S ribosomal RNA (5.8S rRNA) is a component of the large subunit of the eukaryotic ribosome. It is transcribed by RNA polymerase I as part of the 45S precursor that also contains 18S and 28S rRNA.
Source: RNAcentral